GGGAGGUUUAAGUCAUGGAGCAGAAGGCACAUGGGACUCGCCCAGUUCUCUCUGCACCCAGCUGCCUCCCAGCCCUGGGUCCCAGCCCAGGCACGGGCUGUGCAGUGCCAAGCAGCCCUUCCUCCCUGCAGGGGCAGAGGAAGGGUUUGGGAAUGACCUCAGGGAUGCUAAACCCCUUUCUGCUCAGCUGGGCCCAAGCUGGUGGCCACGAAGCAACCAGCAGCUGCUGAGGAGUCAUUCCAAGGGAAAGGAAGCAGGGAUGGAGCCCGGUGCCACAGGGACAUUCACAUCCCUCUAAUCCCCAGCUGGGACCUUCCUGAGGUGGCCUUGUCCAUAGCUGUGUCCCCGUGGUGGCCCACUUGCUCAGGACAGGGGCACAGGGAGCCUGUCCUGGUUCUGUCACCUGUGUGCAGGGCUGCAGGGACAGAGCAGGCAGCAGAACCUCUUUGCAUGACAGGAAAACCUGUGGGAUUCCCUGCAAAUAUAUUUUUAAUGACCCGUGGCUGGUCCUGCAGCAGCCUCAGCAGUGCCAUCAGACGUGCCCCAGCCCACCCUCUCCUUCCCUGGGGGAAUGAAACUGCUUCCUAAGGAGCCAGAGUUGUCCUCAAGGAGCACAAAACUGUUCCUGGCUGGAGCCAAAUAUCUCCCUUUGUGGGGCCAGGCUGCUGGAGGAGAAGCCCCUGCAGGAAGGGGCUCUCAGGGCAGGAGCACAGACUCCCUGGAAGGAGCAGGACCAGCAGGCAGCACAUGGAGCAGCCUGGAGGGAAGAUUUUCCACCUGGGAGAUGAGACCUUUGCCCACUGCGCACUCCCAGGGAGGCUGCAGGGCAGUUGGAUUCCUCAGCAGUGGGUGCUGCAGCCCUGGCCAGGCUGCUCUGUCCCUGCCGUGGGGACAGGAGGCAGAUGCCACACUCCAGCUGGCCUCAGCCAGCUCAGAGGGCAGCUCCACCUCCCAGCUCAGGGCCUGGAAUUACCUGACAGGGAGAAAUCCCAACCUGCAGCACUGAAGGACAGCUAUUUCACACAGGCACAGCUGCUGCCUCCCCCCAAAAAGGGGCUCUGAGCCCCUCUGGGAAGCAGCCAGGGAAUGGGUGCUGACAGCACUGUCCCCAAACCCAGCUGCAGGAAACACUCCCAGACCCCAGCAGCUCCCAGAGCAUCCCCCGGCCCAGGAGAGGCUGGGAUGAGCCAGCCCUGCAAAAGCGAGUCCAGAACAUCUCCUCCCCUCUCAGAUGACAGCCUGGGGACAGCCAGAGCUCAUGGAAGGAGCAGACACCGCUGAAGGGAGGCAGGACCCAGGGUGGAAGCCUCCCUCAGCACGGAGCCAGCAGCCACAGCCCCAGGCAGCCCAGCUCUACCUGGAAGAACCUGAGGAGAGCGAAGAGCAGAUUUUGAGCUGUUUGCAGCUCCCAUCUCCCGGUGCCAGCCUUGCCCAGAGCCCAGCGGGCAGUGCCACCGCCGGCACUCACCGCAGGGCACAUGGCAGUCGCACUCGCAGAUGUCACAGCGCCGGAACCAGCGGGGCCAGCCGGACACUUUGGUGACACAGGCCGAGAUCUUGAUGCAGCCGCUGUUGAGGGAGGUUCCCAAGGAGGUUCCCAAGGAGGUUCCCAGGAGCUCCUGGCUGCCGCAGGACGAGGAGCAGCGGCCGCUGAUGUCCCACUCGCUGAGCUGGAUGCGGCCGCGCAGGCAGAUCCCUGCGGGGGCAGAACCCAUCUCGGGGGUGUUAUGGGUAAUAAACAUAAUUUG
Taeniopygia guttata (zebra finch) is the source of this 1748-nucleotide long non-coding RNA. The record is from Ensembl. NCBI's taxonomy places the organism in Eukaryota, Metazoa, Chordata, Aves, Passeriformes, Estrildidae.